GUACGCUGGCGGCACGCCUAACACAUGCAAGUCNAACGAAGUAGCAAUACUUAGUGGCAGACGGAUGAGUAACAUGUAGGUAUCUGCCCUUUGGCCUGGAAUAACACGAGGAAACUUGUGCUAAUACCGGAUAAGUCUUUACGGAGAAAGCUUUAUGCACCAUUGGAUGAGCCUGCACUUGAUUAGUUUGUUGGUAGGGUAAUGGCCUACCAAGACUGUGAUCAAUAGCUGAUUUGAGAGGAUGAUCAGCCACAUUGGGACUGAGACACGGCCCAAACUCCUACGGGAGGCAGCAGUGGGGAAUCUUGCACAAUGGAGGAAACUCUGAUGCAGCGAUGCCGCGUGAGUGAAGAAGGCCUUUGGGUUGUAAAGCUCUUUCGUCGGGGAAGAAAAUGACUGUACCCGAAUAAGAAGGUCCGGCUAACUUCGUGCCAGCAGCCGCGGUAAUACGAAGGGACCUAGCGUAGUUCGGAAUUACUGGGCUUAAAGAGUUCGUAGGUGGUUGAAAUAGUUGGUGGUGAAAUCCCAGAGCUUAACUCUGGAACUGCCAUCAAAACUUUUCAGCUAGAGUAUGAUAGAGGAAAGCAGAAUUUCUAGUGUAGAGGUGAAAUUCGUAGAUAUUAGAAAGAAUACCAAUUGCGAAGGCAGCUUUCUGGAUCAUUACUGACACUGAGGAACGAAAGCAUGGGUAGCGAAGAGGAUUAGAUACCCUCGUAGUCCAUGCCGUAAACGAUGUGUGUUAGACGUUGGAAAUUUAUUUUCAGUGUCGCAGGGAAACCGAUAAACACACCGCCUGGGGAGUACGACCGCAAGGUUAAAACUCAAAUGAAUUGACGGGGACCCGCGCAGUAG
Molecule: ribosomal RNA, 852 nt
Filed under: uncultured bacterium
Lineage: Bacteria
Description: bacterial SSU rRNA
Rfam family: Bacterial small subunit ribosomal RNA
Source: RNAcentral